RNAcentral lists this ribosomal RNA (561 nucleotides) under Fermentozyma sake. RNAcentral describes it as "eukaryotic LSU rRNA". It matches the Rfam family "Eukaryotic large subunit ribosomal RNA", at positions 63 to 648 of the family's 3401-position model. The record is from RNAcentral. Lineage: Eukaryota; Fungi; Ascomycota; Pichiomycetes; Serinales; Debaryomycetaceae.
AACCAACCGGGAUUGCCUCAGUAACGGCGAGUGAAGCGGCAAAAGCUCAAAUUUGAAAUCUGCGUAAGCCGAGUUGUAAUUUGAAGAUGGCUACUUUGGUAAUGGCUCUUGUCUAUGUUCCUUGGAACAGGACGUCACAGAGGGUGAGAAUCCCGUGCGAUGAGAUGUCCAUUACCGUGUAAAGUGCUUUCGAAGAGUCGAGUUGUUUGGGAAUGCAGCUCUAAGUGGGUGGUAAAUUCCAUCUAAAGCUAAAUAUUGGCGAGAGACCGAUAGCGAACAAGUACAGUGAUGGAAAGAUGAAAAGAACUUUGAAAAGAGAGUGAAAAAGUACGUGAAAUUGUUGAAAGGGAAGGGCUUGAGAUCAGACUUGGUAUUUUGUAUGGCUUGCUCUCGGGCGGGUCCUCUGCAGUUUACUGGGCCAGCAUCGGUUUGGGUGGCAGGAUAAUAGCUUAGGAAUGUGGCUCUACUUCGGUGGAGUGUUAUAGCCUUUGUUGAUACUGCCUGCCUAGACCGAGGACUGCGUCUUUUGACUAGGAUGCUGGCAUAAUGAUCCUAAGCCGC